Dermacentor albipictus is the source of this 676-nucleotide non-coding RNA. The record is from RefSeq and is a predicted model, not a curated record. Lineage: Eukaryota; Metazoa; Arthropoda; Arachnida; Ixodida; Ixodidae.
CAUUUCCGGCAUAGCUGCGAGUGCGCAAAGAGGUGCGUGGUGGCUAAAGUUUCAUAAACUCAGGGACAUGUCCUGUUCAUCUCGCCAUUUCGGCACGGCCGCGCCGGUGCUGCUGCUGCCGAUCGUGCUGGUGCUGGUGCUGGCGAUGUUGCCUGCGCGGAGGAGCGGGGCUUGCGCCCAUGCACGGCCGUCCACACCGUGGCCUCCGUACGGCAUGCCGCACCGUCCUCUGCGAUGGGGCUACCUGGCCUACGGAUCGUCAUUUCUGCUGUGCGACAACUGGCUCGGCCGUCACUACCGGCGGCGAAACAAGCUCGGGGACUACCCGUACUGCGCUCACGGGUCCAGAGGACUGUACAACCUGCGGCCCAAGCCUUCGUUACACGACAUCAUAUACGGGCGCCACAGGGGACCAGCGACGGACACGGACGACUAAGCGGCCGUGCUUACAGGAGUUCGUGUCCACAAGUGGAAGCUUCGUCACUGCUUCGGAAGCCUGCUUCAAACGUUCAGCAUACAAGAGCGGAAAGAAGUGGCUCGUUCCAAGUGCGUGGGCUGCCAAGUUUGUGUCACGUUCUUCGAAAACGUCAGUGGGAUAGCAUUCGAUGAUCUUGCUCAGAUGCCCGAAGCGCACACACUAUAAGGUCGCUUACGUAAACAUUUUUUCUUCCUGUGA